RNAcentral lists this ribosomal RNA (484 nucleotides) under uncultured bacterium. Its description in RNAcentral is "partial 16S ribosomal RNA". It matches the Rfam family "Bacterial small subunit ribosomal RNA", at positions 29 to 507 of the family's 1533-position model. The record is from RNAcentral.
AUUGAACGCUGGCGGCAUGCUUUACACAUGCAAGUCGAACGGCAGCGCGGGCUUCGGCCUGGCGGCGAGUGGCGAACGGGUGAGUAAUGCAUCGGAACGUGCCCAGUAGUGGGGGAUAGCCCGGCGAAAGCCGGAUUAAUACCGCAUACGACCUGAGGGUGAAAGCGGGGGACCGAAAGGCCUCGCGCUAUUGGAGGGGCCGAUGUCGGAUUAGCUAGUUGGUGGGGUAAAGGCUUACCAAGGCGACGAUCCGUAGCUGGUCUGAGAGGACGACCAGCCACACUGGAACUGAGACACGGCCCAGACUCCUACGGGAGGCAGCAGUGGGGAAUUUCGGACAAUGGGGGCAACCCUGAUCCAGCCAUGCCGCGUGCGGGAAGAAGGCCUUCGGGUUGUAAACCGCUUUUGUUCGGGAAGAAAUCCUCUGGGCUAAUACCCCGGGGGGAUGACGGUACCGGAAGAAUAAGCACCGGCUAACUACGUG